GAUGAACGCUGGCGGCGUGCCUAAUACAUGCAAGUCGAGCGAACAGAUGAGGAGCUUGCUCCUCUGACGUUAGCGGCGGACGGGUGAGUAACACGUGGAUAACCUACCUAUAAGACUGGGAUAACUUCGGGAAACCGGAGCUAAUACCGGAUAAUAUCUUGAACCGCAUGGUUCAAUAGUGAAAGACGGUUUUGCUGUCACUUAUCGAUGGAUCCGCGCCGCAUUAGCUAGUUGGUAAGGUAACGGCUUACCAAGGCAACGAUGCGUAGCCGACGUGAGAGGGUGAUCGGCCACACGGGAGCGGAGACACGGUCCAGAGUCCUACGGGAGGCAGCAGUAGGGAAUGUGCCGCAAUGGGCGAGAGCCUGACGGAGCAACGCCGCGUGAGUGAUGAAGGUCUUCGGAUCGUAAAACUCUGUUAUUAGUGAAGAACAAAUGUGUAAGUAACCAUGCACGGCUUGACGGUACCUAAUCAGAAAGCCACGGCUAACUACGUG
This 497-nucleotide ribosomal RNA is filed under the name uncultured bacterium. RNAcentral's name for it is "partial 16S ribosomal RNA". It matches the Rfam family "Bacterial small subunit ribosomal RNA", at positions 28 to 507 of the family's 1533-position model. The record is from RNAcentral.